Molecule: long non-coding RNA, 656 nt
Organism: Quercus robur (English oak)
Lineage: Eukaryota; Viridiplantae; Streptophyta; Magnoliopsida; Fagales; Fagaceae
Exons: 2
Source: RefSeq, a predicted model, not a curated record
AAAAGAAAGGGGGGCAAUGGGGGUGGGAAUAAAAUGCAAAAAGUAUGUAUUGAAAGUAGGGUAGAGUGGGGAUAGCAAAUGGCAAGCCCAGUGUUCAUAUCUCUCUCUCCAACUUUUCACUCCGCAGUCCUCUCCUCAGCUCUCUCUAAUUUUCAAAAUUUUCAAAAAAUCCUGAUGUUGCUGACUUGCUUUUGCCGCUACCACUCUCACGCCAAACCACAGUCAUCGCCACCAUGGCGCCACUCACCAGCCACCGUUUCUCUCCCCCAACGAUCUAUCAACCCCUACUACGCCUUUGUCGGCUCCACUGCCUAACAUCUCCAAUCUGCACCGCCGGCCCAAUCACUUCCCAGAUGAUAGAGCAUAGAGCUCCAGCCAAGCUAUAUUGCCAAAAAAGGUUUUGAAGCAUUCCUUAUGGAUUGAUAUCUUGACGUUAGCAAGACUAAUUUUCAGUGUCAUUAAAGUUUUAGACUUGAUAUGAGUGAACUUUUUACUUCGAAACAUGUAAUGAGACAAAAAAGACUUGCUUUAGUUUUAUGUUGCAUCGUUCAAUUUUGACACUUGAGUGUCCUCGUUUAUGUAUACAAAAACCAUUACAAUGAUGUAUAGUACAAACCAAGAGAAUGUAAUAAAGUGCAAUUAUUCUUUUCUUGAUA